Molecule: long non-coding RNA, 636 nt
Organism: Lagenorhynchus albirostris (white-beaked dolphin)
Lineage: Eukaryota; Metazoa; Chordata; Mammalia; Artiodactyla; Delphinidae
Exons: 2
Source: RefSeq, a predicted model, not a curated record
UACAUUCAAGGGGAUUUUCAGAUUCCCUGGGUGUUGCGACAGUGGAAGAGACUAAUGAAAAAAGAGACUGAUAACAUGGACAUUUUUAAAUGGAUGUCAAGAGAUUCGUGUUCACCCUCGUCAGCACCCCGGAAAAAAUUUUUAAGUUCAGAGUUGAAUAAAAUGUACAUCAGACCAAUAAGGAAUGCCACGCUCUCCUGGAGUCAUGAUCUGUCCAGCGCAGUGCUUUGAUUCUGACUCCAACGAACUUUCUUCCACACCAGUGCUCCCUCCACUUUUGACUGCCUUAACACUUGCAUGGGAACACAGAUAUUCUUUCAAUCAGGUUCCGAGUCUUCAUGCUUAGGAUUUGGUAUUUCUAAUAACUUGAACCAACAGAAAUGCUGGUAACAGUUGCAUGGACUUCCUUUUACUGAUUUUCUUACACUCCAGAAACAUACCAUCCCAUGUUCAAAGGAUGGAAGUCCAAGGAAUUCUUAUCUUUAUUCCCUAACAUGCCUAGCUCCAUCAUACUACUGGUCAGUACUGUGUGUUUCCUACCUAACAAACCCAGAUCAAAGCCAAAUGAAAUGUCUUCUCCAGACUUUUCUCACUCCUAAUUUUAUAAAUAAAAAAUAUUUUUAUUUUUUAUAUAAA